Molecule: long non-coding RNA, 1982 nt
Organism: Osmia lignaria (orchard mason bee)
Lineage: Eukaryota; Metazoa; Arthropoda; Insecta; Hymenoptera; Megachilidae
Source: RefSeq, a predicted model, not a curated record
CGUACAAACGGCCAUGAAAAUCUCGACCAUACCUUCCCUCGGAAACGAAACGACGACGACACACAAGCAGCACCCGCUCAUGGACGAGGAGAAGAGCAGCUGGAAACCUGCUGGCGACCAGGCCUUUCAGGGACGUACAGUUCGAUCUUCGUACCACGUGGUCGUAACUGUCAUUGUCAGGAACGUGGCUCGAAUACGAAGCGUUCCGUCUUCUUUCGACGGCUGAUAAGAAUCUCUUUAAGCGAUUUCGGAGCGGCGUUAUUAGCGUUUCAUUGUAAUUACGAUUUCGUAUACUCUGCUUCAUUUUUCAGACGCGUCGAUAACAGGUCGAAGGGUAUCAAGGGCUUUUCCACGGGGUAUAGAGUUUCUCGUCGAUAGUACGCAUAAUAGCGAAUUGCAAAGAAGAAAGAGAUGACAGGGUCGUGAUAAAACGUUUGAUAGAUAAGAGCGGAUACGACGACGGUUGACGCUGAUAAGCCUCGUCGAAGAAAUGCUCGACGGUAUUACGCUUUAUUAGUGUACAGCGGAGACACACUUGUCCGCGAUAAAUUCGCACAAAGAGGGCCAAGAGUUGAAAUGUGGCCCGAAGUAGCGCAUCCACGUAGAGGAGCAAAGUUGAAGUUCGUACGGAAAUCAGGGACGUAGUUAGAGACAGAUGAACCAUCAGAAAUUGCGAAAAGAGACUCGCUCGUGACCGGAAUAGCAGUGAUUUGCAUACAAUUUCUGAAGCGUCGCGUUCACUUUUAUUGUACCUCGAGACUGUCGCAUCGUCGUCGACGUACGAUGAAUUUAAAUGAUGUCGUUUACCGCGUCCAAUGAUCGAAAGAUUGUAUGCCUCGAGAAUAUUACGUUAAUUCGUAUCGCGUCUGUGUUUCGCGCAAUUUAUUUGGAGUCGCGUGACAGCAAACAAUUAAGGAAAAACAUGUUGUCUCCGAGGAUUUGAUUGAAUUAUUCAAACGUUGUUGAAACGGCUUUUAAAGUGUCGUAAAGUAAAACGUAUGUCUUCUCGUUUCCUGUGAUACAGCUUCGUUUUUAUGUGGCAAGAAAAAGAUUUGAAAAAUAUGUUAUGAUUUUGAUACGAGAUUCAUAAAACACGCGUCGCGAGUUGAUCAAUUCUUAUCGCGCGGUCGUAAAGAAAAACUGGAUGACAUCUAGCGAAAGUUCAAUCAAAUUUAAUGACCGUCUCGUUUACAUGCCACUCAGAACUUUUAUCUCUUAUUGGUAACUUUUCUUUUUACGUGGCUCUAUUUUUUUAUAUAGUUUUUGCAAACGAUCUCGUCGAAAUUGAUCCACUCAGACUUUUCGUUCAACUUUUGAUGACCGAUGGUAAUUCUGUAUUCUCGGAGGGAUCUUCCUUUACGGAUUUAGUCAAAGUAGGGAUUCUCAAAGUUCCGUUUAUCGACUGAAGAAACUGUCGUCGCGGGACCAUGUCCAGCCGGAUUGAACACUUCCAGCGAGACUAAAUACUGUGUGUACGUUUCUAAAUUAUGUAUCUUGUGAUUCUGUAACAAGAAAAAGGGCGCACAAAUUUUAUCACGGAUUAAUAAAUAUGUCAUGUCGUACGGAGUAUGCCAGAAAUAAAGGUGGUAUUAAAACGUCUUAUGUAACUUACUUCAACGGCCGGAUUACGUAUGUAUAUGUGCUUUUCUUCCAUGUGGGGUUUUACUCGAGGCUUAUAACGGAUUCGAUAACCCAGAAAUUCGCCUUGAAUGGUGUCUGGACUGGGCGCCUUCCAUGCCAAAUAAAUGGACGAUGCUGAAGUGUUGUAAGCGCUGAUGUUACUUUCCUCGCUCGCUUUAUCAAAUAGAAAAACAAAAGUCACUGUUUCCGAUUGAUUGAUGUGUGACAAACAAAAUACAAGUGCGAAAAAAUAUGGAAACGAGCGGAUUAAUAGGAGAUACCAUCGAAAUUUCAUCUGUAUCAAGGAAAAAAGAAACAUAUUUCCAUUGAUUGUUUGACAAUCCGUUCGCAAUAAAUAUCGC